RNAcentral lists this ribosomal RNA (1809 nucleotides) under Triticum aestivum (bread wheat). RNAcentral's name for it is "partial small subunit ribosomal RNA". Lineage: Eukaryota; Viridiplantae; Streptophyta; Magnoliopsida; Poales; Poaceae. The record is from RNAcentral.
AUGGCGGUGAUAGUGGACUUGGUUAGCGAUGAUGAUGUGUUCGAAUUGGACGAGGGCAAUGAUGGUCAGGUUGGGGUCUCGUCUUAUCCAGCCCGGAGAAACGCGGAUGCUCCUGGCCCGUCCAGGCUGGUGAGGCAGGACGCUGAUGGGAUGGCCAACGGGGCAACUCCUUCUGCCUCGUUAGUUGGGAUGUAUGUAGAAAUGGGUUUCCCGAAAGAGAUGGUAUUGAAGGCCAUCAAAGAGAUUGGGAAGAGGGACGAAAGUGCAGUGCUGUCACUACUUCUUGCAUAUACGGAAGAUGACGACUCAGUGGGUAGCUGCUCUACUUCUCGCCGCAUCCCCCAGCGUGUUGAAGAUGAUGAUGAUGAUGAUGAAGAAGAAGAUGAUGAUUUUGAUUUUGAAGACUGGGAUGAUGAUGUUGAUGCUGGCCAAAGGGAUCCUCACUCUGAUGGUUCUGGUGAUGAGGAGUUCCUACAAGAGAUGUCACAGUUGGACAAGCAAAUCAAGUCCUUAGUGGACAUGGGAUUUCCUGAAGAUGAAGCAAACAGAGCUCUUAGAAGAUGUGGUCUGGAUACCCCUAUGCAUGUACUGGUUGAUUCUAUCUAUGCAUCACAGCAUGACCCUGAGGUUAUGGAUGAGAAUCGCUUCAGUUCCUGUGUGGGGAGAAAGAAAGCAAGGUUCACAGAAGAUAGCAAGAAGAGGAAAAGAUACGGAGGUGGAGCACAUGGAAGUCAACCCCCAUGGGAUGGUGGUCAUGAAGAGUCAAUUUCUCUGCCAAAGCCAAUGGUGGGAUUUGGCCUACCUGGUGACCGACCACGGUCAGUGGGCAGAUGGCUUCCUGCACAUAGUAUGAGAGCACCUUUCUUCUAUUAUGAGAAUGUGGCACUUGCUACUAAAGGUGCCUGGGCAGAAAUUUCAAGAUCCCUAUAUGGUAUUGAGCCAGAGUUCGUAGACUCGAAGUACUUCUGCGCAGCGUUAAGGAAACGGGGUUACAUCCAUAACCUCCCAACUGAGGGAAGGUCAGUUUUGCGUCCCAUCCCUCCGAAGACCAUUUUCGAGGCCUUCCCCCAGUACGAGACGUGGUGGCCCUCGUGGGACCAAAGAAGGCAGCUCAAUUGCCUACAAACUUGUAUGGCAAGCGCAAAGCUGACUGAACGGAUCCACCGUGCUCUUGCAAACUCGACCGAUCCACCAACUCAAGCUGUUCAGAAACGUGUGCUGGAAGAGUGCAGGAAGUGGAAUUUGGUAUGGAUCGGGAAAAACAAAGUUGCUGCAUUGGAUUAUCUGGAAAUGGAGUUUCUGCUUGGUUAUCCAAGGGACCAUACCAGGGGAGCCAGCAAGAAAAAGAGAGACAAAUGCCUUGGAAAUUCAUUCCAAGUCGAUACUGUUGCUUUUCAUCUGUCAGUGCUGAAGGAUAGGUUUCCAUGUGGUAUGAACGUGCUGUCCCUAUUCAGUGGUAUCGGAGGAGCAGAGGUUGCCCUUCACAAGCUUGGCAUACGGAUGAAGACCGUGGUUUCUGUGGAAAUCUGCGAAGCGAGUAGGAACAUCUUGAGAACUUGGUGGGAUCAGACUCAGGAUGGCACUCUGAUAGAGUUUCGUGAUGUGCAGUCUCUCACGCAUGAAAAAAUCGCAUCACUUAUCAGACAACUUGGUGGCUUUGACUUGGUGAUCGGGGGAAGCCCAUGUAACAACCUUGCCGGCAGCAACCGGCACCACCGUGUUGGCUUGGAGGGCGACCAGUCUGUGUUGUUUCGUGACUAUGUUAGAAUCUUGAACUCUAUCAAGUCGAUUAUGGCGAAUGUAGGAUGA